AGUGAACGCUGGCGGUAGGCCUAACACAUGCAAGUCGAACGGCAGCACAGUAAGAGCUUGCUCUUACGGGUGGCGAGUGGCGGACGGGUGAGGAAUACAUCGGAAUCUACUUUUUCGUGGGGGAUAACGUAGGGAAACUUACGCUAAUACCGCAUACGACCUACGGGUGAAAGCAGGGGAUCUUCUUACCUUGCGCGAUUGAAUGAGCCGAUGUCGGAUUAGCUAGUUGUCGGGGUAAAGGCCCACCAAGGCGACGAUCCGUAGCUGGUCUGAGAGGAUGAUCAGCAACACUGGAACUGAGACACGGACCAGACUACGACGGGAGGCAGCAGUGGGGAAUAUUGGACAAUGGGCGAAAGCAUGAUACAGCAAUACCGCGUGGGUGAAGAAGGCCUUCGGGUUGUAAAGCACUUUUGUUGGGAAAGAAAAGCAGCAGGUUAAUACCCAGCUGUUCUGACGGUACCAAAAGAAUAAGCACCGGCUAACUUCGUG
Molecule: ribosomal RNA, 492 nt
Filed under: uncultured bacterium
Lineage: Bacteria
Description: partial 16S ribosomal RNA
Rfam family: Bacterial small subunit ribosomal RNA
Source: RNAcentral